CAGCCGCCGCGGUAAUACGUAGGUGGCAAGCGUUGUCCGGAAUUAUUGGGCGUAAAGGGCUCGCAGGCAGUUUCUUAAGUCUGAUGUGAAAGCCCCCGGCUCAACCGGGGAGGGUCAUUGGAAACUGGGAAACUUGAGUGCAGAAGAGGAGAGUGGAAUUCCACGUGUAGCGGUGAAAUGCGUAGAGAUGUGGAGGAACACCAGUGGCGAAGGCGACUCUCUGGUCUGUAACUGACGCUGAGGAGCGAAAGCGUGGGGAGCGAACAGGAUUAGAUACCCCGGUAGUCCCUGUCUCUUAUAA
Molecule: ribosomal RNA, 301 nt
Filed under: uncultured bacterium
Lineage: Bacteria
Description: partial 16S ribosomal RNA
Rfam family: Bacterial small subunit ribosomal RNA
Source: RNAcentral